GACGUAGGGUCCGAGCGUUGUCCGGAGUUACUGGGCGUAAAGGGCGCGUAGGCGGACAGUUUAGUCAGAGGUGAAAGCCCAGGGCUCAACCUUGGAACUGCCUUUGAUACUGACUGUCUUGAGUUCGGGAGAGGUGAGUGGAAUGCCGAGUGUAGAGGUGAAAUUCGUAGAUAUUCGGCGGAACACCAGUGGCGAAGGCGACUCACUGGCCCGAUACUGACGCUGAGGCGCGAAAGCGUGGGGAGCAAACAGG
This 253-nucleotide ribosomal RNA is filed under the name uncultured bacterium. RNAcentral's name for it is "partial 16S ribosomal RNA". It matches the Rfam family "Bacterial small subunit ribosomal RNA", at positions 524 to 776 of the family's 1533-position model. The record is from RNAcentral.